UAUGGUUUCUCUCAUUUUUAAGCAAGCAUUACAUUUGGAUGCUAAGUGAUUUAACAAAUACAACAGAGGAAGGGACUGAGGGUUCAAAAUACAAGGGCAAGAUGCUCGUGAUUUUUGCUUUAGAAAAUAGUGUGCCUAACAGUGGUAGGUGGAAAGCUAUGCAUGUUAAACCUGUAGUGUGUUUUCUGUGGUUCGUCUUUGAACCACUUUGUUCUGAGAGUUACCUACUUUUUUUUUUGUUUUUUUGAGACAGGGUUUCUCUGUAUAGCCCUGGCUGUCCUGGAACUCAUUUUGUAGACCAGGCUGGCCUCGAACUCAGAAAUCUGCCUGCUUCUAGAGUGCUGGGAUUAAAGGCGUGCGCCACCACGCCCGGCUGAGUUACCUACUUUUAUAUUACUUGCUGUUUGUACUUUACCUAAAUUAUCAUUACACAUUUGAGUGUCUUUCAUUCUUCCUUUUAGAAUUUUAUAAGAAAAUACAAAAAGAUAAGUUAAAUAUUUAAAUUAACUAAAGUAUAAGGAACUUGGAUCAUAGAUGGUGUUCCCAUCUGCUUUUACCUUUUUAGGACUCUAGGUGCCUCCAUUCUCUUUACUUUUAUAAUUGAACUGUUGUAUUUUUACUUUAUUUUUAUUUACUUAAUUUAGAUUUGUUAUUACUUUGUGUCUAAGAGUGUUUUGUACCACAUGUUUGCCUGAUGCCCAAAGAGGUGAGCUUCCAUGUGUGUACUGGGAAUCAAACCUGAGCCCUUUGCAAGAACAAAUGUUCUUAACCAAUGAGCAAACUCUUCCAGCUCCUGAGUAGUCCAGGCUAGCCUUGAACUUAAUUAUGAUUAUCCUGUCUUUUUCAGCAAAUCCUACUGGCUUGAGCAACCACAACUAUCCAUUGAUGGUGAUUGUGGUAUUAAUUGUGGGUUGUUAGUAGUAAUGUCUUUAUAUUCCCUUCUACUUACUGUUCUCCUUUUUUCUUCUCAGUCCAUCCUACUGGACUGAUGUUCAUGGUUUUGAAUAUAUAAACCACUUCCAACAAUUCUCUCCUAGAAAGUCAUUUGGUUCUAGUUAUGCCACUCUUUGUUCUCCAAAUAGGGUAUAAUUUUUUAUUCUUUCAAAAUGUGCUGAACAUAUUGCUUAUUAGUCUUUAGUGUGUGUAAAUGACUUUACUUCCUGGAAAUGCACCUCAUACAUCCUGAUACUUGAUAGAAAUAACCUUCCAUGAGUUGUUUUGAAAAUAUAAGCACUGGAAAGUUUUGAGUCAAGAGAACAUGUUCUUUGUUCUUCAAUACUUGCUGGAUGAUAAUGCUGCAUGGCAAGGAACCGAGCACAAGGAGUGGUGGCUCCUGAUAGAGGCCUGAGGAGUGUGACAGUGAUCAAAACUGUCUCCAUUGAAUUUAUUAACUCAGUUUAGUCAGUUUGCACAAGUUAUCUUGAAAGGGUUUUCAUAAACCUCUUAUUUGAUUCAUAUAACAAUCGAAAAGUACUUGUGAAAAGAAAGAGAAAUGAGUUUUUCAGAAUCAGGAGGUUGAUAAGAGAUAAAUGGAGAUUUUUAUUUUUUGGAUUUGGCUUAAUGUCUAGUAUAUUUUUUAUAUAAUAUCCAAAUUUUUUCUCCAUUUACAAGUGUGUGAAUUUUUUACUUAUUAUUGUUUUGUUUUUUUGCUUUUUCAAGACAGGGUUUCUGUGUAUCCUUGACUGUCCUGGAACUUAUUCUGUAGACCAAUUUGGCUUUGAACUCAAAGACCUGCCUGCUUUUGCUUCCUAAGUGCCGGGAUUAAAGGCGUGCGUUACCACCACCUGGCACCUAGUAUAUGUUUUGAGAAACAGCAUUGUAUUGAAUUGUUUUGAUAUUAUUGAGAGGUUUUCAUAUAGCUGCCUUAAGUUUAUUAAAACCAUGUGUAGUAUAAUUUUUAGCUAAUUUAUUUUUUGACACAAGGUCCCUUCUAUAGUCUUGACUGUCUUGGAACUCACUAUGUAGACCAGACUGCCUUUGAACUCAUUGGGAUCCUCAUGGCUCUGCCUUCAUAGUGGUGGGAUUAAAGAUGUGGGCCACCGUAUCCCGCUCAUGUAUGAUAUUUUAUAAUAGGAUCCUUUUAUUUUAUCCAAUGAUUAUUAUUACUGACAUUAAUAUCAGUAACUCAUUUUGUUUUCAAAUUUGGUGUAUAGUACAAUACUAAACAUUCCUGUACAUAUAGUUAUAAUUAGAUCUAUUACUGUUUCUAGUUUUAGUGGUGUGUGUGUGUGAAUGUGUGUUUGUACACAUAUAUUAAUAUACUCUUGAGUUUGAGGAUAUUCAGGGCUACACAGAGAAACCUUAUCUCUAAAACCUCAAAACCCUUAGUCAGCAUAACAGCUAUUGUGCUAUCUAAGGCAUAGUAAAAAUAUGAUGGCUGUGUGCAUUUUUUAUCCAGGAACAUAAAUGGUCAAAGGCCAUGAAGAAUCUGGGAUUUUUAAUAUUUAUUACUACAACAAACAACAAAAGCAAAAUUACAAAACAAAUGUCUCAUCGUAGUGCAUUUCCCACCCCACCUAUUUCCUCAUAGUUUCACCCAGGCAGUGCUUGCAUUAAAGUUGUGUAUCCAGGCUGUUUUUGAAUUUCAUGAGCACCAUGCCCAUCAUACCACUAGCUUAGUAAUGUAUUUCUAAAUCACACACAUAUAAGGAACAUAUUUUAUGUCUUUUUGCCAUCUCUCUCCCACUUGUCAAGGAUGUGUGAAAAAUUUAAAUUUUGUGUUGUGUGAGCACUCUUUCUAAACCAUUUGCUAAAGGAGAGUUUCGUUGACACUACGCCACCCCCAAGACAGUUGUUCUUUGUAGCCCUGGCUCUUCUGGAACUCUAGAGCCAGGCUGACCAGGAAUUCAGAGAUCCACCUCUCUCUGCCUCCCAAGUGAUACAAUUAAGUGUAUAUGCCACCACACACUGAAAGAGAGCCUGUGUUAGCCCUGGCUGAUGUUCAUCUUCCUGAUUCAGUCUUUCAAAUACUAAUUUUAUAGGCUUGGACUACUAGGCACAUUAGAAGGGACAUGGGUCUUGAUCUUUUAAAAUUUAUUAUUUCAACAUCAUAUAUACAUACAUACAUGGGUGUUUUGCCACAUGUGUGUCUGGUGCCCUUCAAGGCUAGAGGAUGGCAUUGGAAUCCCCUAGAAUUAGAGUUACAGACUGUUGUAAGCCAUCAUGUAGGUCCUAGGAAUUGACCUUUGGUCCUGGAAAAGCUACUAGAUCUUUUAACCCCUGAACCUUACCUUUCUAGCCCAAGAUCAUGGUUUUUAAUGGUUAUAUGUUCCAUCAAACUCUGGUAAAGAGGCUCUUAAGAUAUUUCUUUUUUCUAAGAAAAAAAUUAUUAAAGCUUAUAUCCAUGUACCUUUGUACAGAUUAUAUUGCUCAAAUUCUUCAGAGUUGCUUAUUCAAGCCAAAUGUAUUUAAUAGUAAUGACUUGGGAAACAUGGACAGUGCAAAACAUGGUUUGUAGAGAGAAAAACAGAAAUAGACCAUUUUUCUUAGGAAGCUUAGAGUCCAUUUGGAAUGAUAACAUCAACUUUCAGAAAUUAAAAAAUUAAAAGCACUUAAUAGAAUCUACUUUGUUAAACAGGAAAAAAUGUAGAUGUUGAGGAAUUUUAAAGAGCAAUUAUUAGGAUCAGAGAUAAUAAUUGGUCAAGACUUCUUGGAGAAACAUUUGAAAUGGUUUGAAAUCAGAGUAAACCAAGCAUUUUAUUUUGUUUUAUUCACUUUAUUUCUGAAGAGAAGUAUCACCGGCAGCAGCCAGUAUGUUUUCACUUGGUUUUGGAAGCAUUAGUGCUUCAUUUAUGUGGUGUCUGGAUGGAGCUUAAGAGGGGCAAAGGCUCUUGAGAAUUGUUUUGGUCCUCGGUGUAUUUUUGUUGUGGUUUCUUCUGUAGUGGCUUUUAAUUGCUUAGGGUACUAGGGUCAUGGAAAUUGUUGACCAAGGUAGGUUUCCCCUUGCAUUGACUUUUACAAGGGCAGGAAGUUGUAAGGAGUUUCUUUGUGGACUUUUUUUUUUUUUUUUCUUUUAAUACUAUGCCUGAUACCAUAUCAAAGCAGAUACUUUGUCAUGGUGGAUACAAAAGAGAAAGCAACGGACUGUUUCUAUAAUUCAGAAAAACUGUCUUGUGAUACCUGUUGUCCUUGGAGAAAUGUUCCUGGAGAAAUGAGGUUGACUCUGAAGAUACUGGGGUACAGAUACACCUCAUUAUAGCUAGUUUUAGAAGGACACAAGUGAAGUGAAAAAAAUCUCUUAAGGCUAGUUUUAGUUGCCUUGGGUUUUUGCUGUUGUUUUGGGGUUUUGUUUUUGACUGAGGCCCAAACUCUGUGCCUUGUAUUUGCUAAGUAAGUGCUCUAGCACUGAGCUGAGUUCCCAGAUCUAGAAGGCUUGCUUUUAAGAAUGAACUCUGGUCUGGUAAAGAUGGCUUCAUGGAUAAAAGCACUUAGUAUGCAAGCUUGGCAACCAGAAUUCCAUCCUUAGGACUCAUGUAAAAUAAAUGUAGAGGUAGGGAACACACAGACUCUACAAGGUUGUUUUUUUCACUUUCACAGGCAUCCUGUGACACUCACUUCCCCCCAGGCCCCCUUCCAUACACACACAAACAAUAAUAAUG
This 4598-nucleotide long non-coding RNA is filed under the name Mus musculus (house mouse). RNAcentral's name for it is "long non-coding RNA chr6:38577972-38582570". The record is from RNAcentral. Lineage: Eukaryota; Metazoa; Chordata; Mammalia; Rodentia; Muridae.